Molecule: ribosomal RNA, 468 nt
Filed under: uncultured bacterium
Lineage: Bacteria
Description: partial 16S ribosomal RNA
Rfam family: Bacterial small subunit ribosomal RNA
Source: RNAcentral
GACGAACGCUGGCGGCGUGCUUAACACAUGCAAGUCGAACGGAAAGGCCCUGCUUUUGUGGGGUGCUCGAGUGGCGAACGGGUGAGUAACACGUGAGUAACCUGCCCUUGACUUUGGGAUAACUUCAGGAAACUGGGGCUAAUACCGGAUAGGAGCUCCUGCUGCAUGGUGGGGGUUGGAAAGUUUCGGCGGUUGGGGAUGGACUCGCGGCUUAUCAGCUUGUUGGUGGGGUAGUGGCUUACCAAGGCUUUGACGGGUAGCCGGCCUGAGAGGGUGACCGGCCACAUUGGGACGGAGAUACGGCCCAGACUCCUACGGGAGGCAGCGGUGGGGAAUAUUGCACAAUGGGCGGAAGCCUGAUGCAGCAACGCCGCGUGCGGGAUGACGGCCUUCGGGUUGUAAACCGCUUUCGCCUGUGACGAAGCGUGAGUGACGGUAAUGGGUAAAGAAGCACCGGCUAACUACGUG